Molecule: ribosomal RNA, 429 nt
Filed under: Gemmatimonadota bacterium
Lineage: Bacteria; Pseudomonadati; Gemmatimonadota
Description: Gemmatimonadetes bacterium partial 16S ribosomal RNA
Rfam family: Bacterial small subunit ribosomal RNA
Source: RNAcentral
UAGGGAAUCUUCGGCAAUGGACGAAAGUCUGACCGAGCAACGCCGCGUGAGUGAAGAAGGUUUUCGGAUCGUAAAACUCUGUUGUUAGAGAAGAACAAGGACGUUAGUAACUGAACGUCCCCUGACGGUAUCUAACCAGAAAGCAACGGCUAACUACGUGCCAGCAGCCGCGGUAAUACGUAGGUGGCAAGCGUUGUCCGGAUUUAUUGGGCGUAAAGCGAGCGCAGGCGGUUUCUUAAGUCUGAUGUGAAAGCCCCCGGCUCAAGCGGGGAGGGUCAUUGGAAGCUGGGAGACUUGAGGGCAGAAGAGGAGAGUGGAAUUCCAUGUGUAGCGGUGAAAUGCGUAGAUAUAUGGAGGAACACCGGUGGCGAAGGCGGCUCGCUGGUCUGUAACUGACGCUGAGGCACGAAAGCGUGGGGAGCAAACAGG